Molecule: ribosomal RNA, 510 nt
Filed under: Neogloboquadrina incompta
Lineage: Eukaryota; Foraminifera; Rotaliida; Globorotaliidae
Description: bacterial SSU rRNA
Rfam family: Eukaryotic small subunit ribosomal RNA
Source: RNAcentral
UGUGGCUUAAUUUGACUCAACGCGGGAAAUCUUACCAGGUCCGGACACACUGAGGAUUGACAGGAAGUAUCGUCUUUUGAAUUCUUUAAGGAUAUGUCGUUUUUAAUGACAUCUUUUAGAUGGAUGAUUCGUGUAAAUAUGCUAGUUCUUUCAUGAUUAUGUGAUAGGUGGUGCAUGGCCGUUCUUAGUUCGUGGAGUGAUCUGUCUGCUUAAUUGCGUUUCACUAAGGCCCCAAAGUUAGCAAAUUAUCAAUCGUUACAGAGUCGACCCCUCACCUUUGAGUGCGCGUCCUAACUUGUAGUACAUGGUGUAAAUGGAUUUGUUUUGGGUACCCAGAAAGCAACGAACGUGACCGCAACGUCUUGUUGUCUCUCUUUGACAGUUAUGGGUUAUCCCAGUCAUGUGUUUAUACUUUUAUGUGUAAAUACGUACGACACAGAGACUAGAUACCAAACUAGGCGUACCGCUGUAUCAUUUCUUUAAACCAGAGGAAGGUUGCGGCAAUAACAG